Molecule: long non-coding RNA, 705 nt
Filed under: Gallus gallus (chicken)
Lineage: Eukaryota; Metazoa; Chordata; Aves; Galliformes; Phasianidae
Source: RNAcentral
CACGUGACAGCACUUUAUUGAGGCAGCGUCCAAUCAGGAGAGGGCGACAGCAACGCGGGGGAGGAGCUCAGCCAAUCGGGAGGCGGCGUCUGGGGAGGCGGCCAACGGCGUCUCGGCCAAUCCCAGCACAGACAGGCGGGGGCAGGUGGCCAAUGGGGCCAGCGCGGGGCGUGGCUUAUGGGGUUGCCGUCCAAUCGCAGCUCCCGAAGCCGCGGAAGGGGUGGGAGUCCCUGCAGCGUUGCGAUCUGAUUGCGCGACACGUCCAGCACCUGCAGCCUCCUCAGCGCCCCCAAGGUUUGGGGGAGCCCCUGCAGGGCAUUGCCCCCCAAAUCCAGCACGGUGACACAGCCCAGGCGCUCCAAUAGGGGCAGCGAUGUCAGCCCCUUCCCGCGGAGGCGGAGCUCCUCAGGCUCCGCCCCCUCCCUCAGCAGCGCCAGCACAAGCUCCGCCCUCGACGCCAUGUCGGCCACGAAGCCAAUCCGCAGCGGGUCCGCCUCCUGCAGGGCCCGCAGGCAGCGCCGCAUCUCCUCCUCGUGGCCCAAUGGGUCGGUGGAGGCCAACAGCAGCAGCAGGGUCAGCAGGCAGCCGCGGCUGAGCGGCUCCAGCUCCAGCAGCUCCCUGCAGGCGCCCAGCAGCUCCUCCAGCACCGCCCGGUCGGCCACGCCCAUUUCCGGCCAGAAGAGCUCCUGGGGCACAACAGGCUCC